UGGGGAAUAUUGCACAAUGGGCGCAAGCCUGAUGCAGCCAUGCCGCGUGUAUGAAGAAGGCCUUCGGGUUGUAAAGUACUUUCAGCGGGGAGGAAGGCGUGAGGUUAAUACCCUCGUCGAUUGACGUUACCCGCAGAAGAAGCACCGGCUAACUCCGU
RNAcentral lists this ribosomal RNA (158 nucleotides) under uncultured bacterium A11-2-2. RNAcentral describes it as "partial 16S ribosomal RNA". It matches the Rfam family "Bacterial small subunit ribosomal RNA", at positions 355 to 506 of the family's 1533-position model. The record is from RNAcentral.